AUUGAACGCUGGCGGCAUGCCUUACACAUGCAAGUCGAACGGCAGCACGGGAGCAAUCCUGGUGGCGAGUGGCGAACGGGUGAGUAAUAUAUCGGAACGUGCCCAGUCGUGGGGAUAACGUAGCGAAAGCUACGCUAAUACCGCAUACGAUCUAUGGAUGAAAGCGGGGGAUCGCAAGACCUCGCGCGAUUGGAGCGGCCGAUAUCAGAUUAGGUAGUUGGUGAGGUAAAGGCUCACCAAGCCGACGAUCUGUAGCUGGUCUGAGAGGACGACCAGCCACACUGGAACUGAGACACGGUCCAGACUCCUACGGGAGGCAGCAGUGGGGAAUUUUUGGACAAUGGACGCAAGGUCUGAUCCAGCCAUUCCGCGUGCAGGAUG
Molecule: ribosomal RNA, 381 nt
Filed under: uncultured bacterium
Lineage: Bacteria
Description: bacterial SSU rRNA
Rfam family: Bacterial small subunit ribosomal RNA
Source: RNAcentral